RNAcentral lists this ribosomal RNA (252 nucleotides) under Catenibacterium mitsuokai DSM 15897. Its description in RNAcentral is "partial 16S ribosomal RNA". It matches the Rfam family "Bacterial small subunit ribosomal RNA", at positions 524 to 776 of the family's 1533-position model. The record is from RNAcentral. Lineage: Bacteria; Bacillati; Bacillota; Erysipelotrichia; Erysipelotrichales; Coprobacillaceae.
UACGUAGGUGGCGAGCGUUAUCCGGAAUCAUUGGGCGUAAAGAGGGAGCAGGCGGCCGCAAGGGUCUGUGGUGAAAGACCGAAGCUAAACUUCGGUAAGCCAUGGAAACCGGGCGGCUAGAGUGCGGAAGAGGAUUGUGGAAUUCCAUGUGUAGCGGUGAAAUGCGUAGAUAUAUGGAGGAACACCAGUGGCGAAGGCGACGGUCUGGGCCGCAACUGACGCUCAUUCCCGAAAGCGUGGGGAGCAAAUAGG